GACGAACGCUGGCGGCGUGCUUAACACAUGCAAGUCGAGCGGUAAGGCCCUUUCGGGGGUACACGAGCGGCGAACGGGUGAGUAACACGUGGGUGACCUGCCCUUAGCUCUGGGAUAAGCCUGGGAAACUGGGUCUAAUACCGGAUAUGACUCCAUGACGCAUGUUGUGGGGUGGGAAAGCCUUGUGCGGCUAGGGAUGGGCCCGCGGCCUAUCAGCUUGUUGGUGGGGUGAUGGCCUACCAAGGCGACGACGGGUAGCCGGCCUGAGAGGGCGACCGGCCACACUGGGACUGAGACACGGCCC
Molecule: ribosomal RNA, 304 nt
Filed under: uncultured bacterium
Lineage: Bacteria
Description: bacterial SSU rRNA
Rfam family: Bacterial small subunit ribosomal RNA
Source: RNAcentral